Molecule: unclassified non-coding RNA, 443 nt
Filed under: Trigonella foenum-graecum
Lineage: Eukaryota; Viridiplantae; Streptophyta; Magnoliopsida; Fabales; Fabaceae
Source: RNAcentral
UGUUGGUUCUCNGACGCGAGGUCACAUGAGUGGCAUCGAGGAUGUUUUUGCUUGCUGGCUCAAUGCUCAUGCACUGAACGGUUUGCAUAUAAUCCUGGAUCAUUUUUCACCAUUGCUGCCUUGGCGCCUUCGGUGUUACGUCGUUGUUCCUGUUUGGGAUUACCUUUAAAAUGGUACCAAAGUGGCUUGUUAGGCUUGAACCAUCCCAACAUCAUUCACGUGGUGGUGUGGUGGCUUAUGAAUUUAUACGUAUGUUCCGUUUUUGAUAUAGUCCCACGCGGUGUCUUNUGCGGUGCACACGUAUUCACUGAAUUNUCGGACGCGGUGCUUGAGAUGACCUUUGGUUUAUCCCAAUAUGUCCCCAAUUAACGGUUGCCAUAAAUUAUGCCCGCCCUACUGCAUGCUCCUGCGCAUGCACUAGACGCGGAGUCAUUAAUGGAUGC